ACUUCUAUUUUCUAUA
RNAcentral lists this small RNA (16 nucleotides) under Arabidopsis thaliana (thale cress). RNAcentral's name for it is "ATSL019010". The record is from RNAcentral. Lineage: Eukaryota; Viridiplantae; Streptophyta; Magnoliopsida; Brassicales; Brassicaceae.